Molecule: ribosomal RNA, 444 nt
Filed under: uncultured bacterium
Lineage: Bacteria
Description: SSU rRNA
Rfam family: Bacterial small subunit ribosomal RNA
Source: RNAcentral
AGAACGAACGCUGGCGGCAGGCUUAACACAUGCAAGUCGAACGCCCCGCAAGGGGAGUGGCAGACGGGUGAGUAACGCGUGGGAAUCUACCUGGUUCUACGGAAUAACACAGGGAAACUUGUGCUAAUACCGUAUACGCCCUAUGGGGGAAAGAUUUAUCGGUGCCAGAUGAGCCCGCGUAAGAUUAGCUAGUUGGUGGGGUAACGGCCUACCAAGGCGACGAUCUUUAGCUGGUCUGAGAGGAUGAUCAGCCACACUGGGACUGAGACACGGCCCAGACUCCUACGGGAGGCAGCAGUGGGGAAUAUUGGACAAUGGGCGAAAGCCUGAUCCAGCCAUGCCGCGUGAGUGAUGAAGGCCUUAGGGUUGUAAAGCUCUUUCAGUGGGGAAGAUAAUGACGGUACCCACAGAAGAAGCCCCGGCUAACUUCGUGCCAGCAGCCGC